Molecule: small RNA, 1377 nt
Filed under: Pongo abelii (Sumatran orangutan)
Lineage: Eukaryota; Metazoa; Chordata; Mammalia; Primates; Hominidae
Description: retained intron
Source: RNAcentral
GGUUCUUAGCAGAAAUUAGGCUGUUGGGUGUGGUGAGUUGAGCCCAGUACUGACAGCCUGCUUAAAGUUUCACCCCCAGAGGACGAAGAGGUCAAGAACCUUGCAGAAAAGUUGGCCAGGUUCAUAGCGGACGGGGGUCCCGAGGUGGAAACCAUUGCCCUCCAGAACAACCGUGAGAACCAGGCAUUCAGCUUUCUGUACGAGCCCAAUAGCCAAGGGUACAAGUACUACCGACAGAAGCUGGAGGAGUUCCGGAAAGCCAAGGCCAGCUCCACAGGCAGCCUCACAGCACCCGACCCCAGCCUGAAGCGCAAGUCCCCUCCUGAGGCCCUGUCAGGGUCCUUACCCCCAGCCACCACCUGCCCUGCCUCAUCCACGCCUGCCCCCACUAUCAUCCCUGCUGCAGCUGCCCCCGGGAAGCCAGCCUCCGCAGCCACCGUGAAGAGGAAGCGGAAGAGCCGGUGGGGGCCUGAAGAGGAUAAGGUAGAGCUCCCACCUGCUGAACUGGUGCAGAGGGACGUGGACGCCUCUCCCUCACCUCUGUCAGUUCAGGAUCUCAAGGGGCUCGGCUACGAGAAGGGGAAGCCUGUGGGUCUAGUGGGCGUCACAGAGCUGUCGGAUGCCCAGAAGAAGCAGCUGAAGGAGCAGCAGGAGAUGCAGCAGAUGUACGACAUGAUCAUGCAGCACAAGCGGGCUAUGCAGGACAUGCAGCUGCUGUGGGAGAAGGCGGUGCAGCAGCACCAGCACGGCUAUGACAGCGACGAGGAGGUGGACAGCGAGCUGGGCACCUGGGAGCACCAGCUGCGGCGCAUGGAGAUGGACAAGACCAGGGAAUGGGCCGAGCAGCUGACAAAGAUGGGCCGGGGCAAGCACUUCAUCGGAGACUUCCUGCCUCCAGAUGAGCUGGAAAAGUUUAUGGAGACCUUCAAGGCCCUGAAGGAGGGCCGUGAGCCUGACUACUCAGAGUACAAGGAGUUCAAGCUGACUGUGGAGAACAUUGGCUACCAGAUGCUGAUGAAGAUGGGCUGGAAGGAGGGCGAGGGGCUGGGCUCGGAGGGCCAGGGCAUCAAGAACCCGGUGAACAAGGGCACCACCACAGUGGACGGCGCCGGCUUCGGCAUUGACCGGCCAGCAGAGCUCUCCAAGGAGGACGACGAGUAUGAGGCGUUCCGCAAGAGGAUGAUGCUGGCCUACCGCUUCCGGCCCAACCCCCUGAACAACCCCAGACGGCCUUACUACUGAGUGUUCUGGAAAUACAUACUUUCUGAAUGACCAACCGUCCCUGGACUGUGGAAUGUUCCGGCCUGCAUUUCUGCCCACCCCUCCCGUUGUCACGAGUGCCGUGCCGUGUAAUAAAGUCCCAGUGCUCAUCCACCA